GUUAUUAAUAAUCGCAGAUACAAUUAUUAGCUUUUUACAUUGAGAAUCAAACCACCAACUUAUGCUAUAACUUUGAAAUGUUAUGGACUUAAGUAGUUAGGAUAAACAACAAUGACACAGUCAGAUAUGUUGACUCCAUGUCCAUGUUAUAUUAUGUGGUUAUAGAUAUAUGAUUGUUGUAAGAUGGGCAAAACAAAGAUUAUGAUUAUCGUUGCAUUUAUUUAUUAGAGUUUGGAAUUGAACAUUGCACUAUUUUGUGCAAGCUGAUUAGUAACCGUGAAGAUGUAUAUCGUGUUGUCAAAGCUGUUGC
RNAcentral lists this long non-coding RNA (310 nucleotides) under Citrus maxima (pomelo). Its description in RNAcentral is "long non-coding RNA (CMAX_LNC003200)". The record is from RNAcentral. Lineage: Eukaryota; Viridiplantae; Streptophyta; Magnoliopsida; Sapindales; Rutaceae.